Molecule: ribosomal RNA, 617 nt
Filed under: Escherichia coli
Lineage: Bacteria; Pseudomonadati; Pseudomonadota; Gammaproteobacteria; Enterobacterales; Enterobacteriaceae
Description: partial 23S ribosomal RNA
Rfam family: Bacterial large subunit ribosomal RNA
Source: RNAcentral
GAAUGCUGACAUAAGUAACGAUAAAGCGGGUGAAAAGCCCGCUCGCCGGAAGACCAAGGGUUCCUGUCCAACGUUAAUCGGGGCAGGGUGAGUCGACCCCUAAGGCGAGGCCGAAAGGCGUAGUCGAUGGGAAACAGGUUAAUAUUCCUGUACUUGGUGUUACUGCGAAGGGGGGACGGAGAAGGCUAUGUUGGCCGGGCGACGGUUGUCCCGGUUUAAGCGUGUAGGCUGAUUUUCCAGGCAAAUCCGGAAAAUCAAGGCUGAGGCGUGAUGACGAGGCACUACGGUGCUGAAGCAACAAAUGCCCUGCUUCCAGGAAAAGCCUCUAAGCAUCAGGUAACAUCAAAUCGUACCCCAAACCGACACAGGUGGUCAGGUAGAGAAUACCAAGGCGCUUGAGAGAACUCGGGUGAAGGAACUAGGCAAAAUGGUGCCGUAACUUCGGGAGAAGGCACGCUGAUAUGUAGGUGAAGCGACUUGCUCGUGGAGCUGAAAUCAGUCGAAGAUACCAGCUGGCUGCAACUGUUUAUUAAAAACACAGCACUGUGCAAACACGAAAGUGGACGUAUACGGUGUGACGCCUGCCCGGUGCCGGAAGGUUAAUUGAUGGGGUUAGC